GAUGAACGCUGGCGGCGUGCCUAAUACAUGCAAGUCGAGCGAACAGACGAUGAGCUUGCUCCUCUGACGUUAGCGGCGGACGGGUGAGUAACACGUGGAUAAUCUACCUAUAAUUCUGGGAUAACUUCGGGAAACCGGAGCUAAUACCGGAUAAUAUAUUGAACCGCAUGGUUCAAUAGUGAAAGACGGUUUUGCUGUCACUUAUAGAUGGAUCCGCGCCGCAUUAGCUAGUUGGUAAGGUAACGGCUUACCAAGGCAACGAUGCGUAGCCGACCUGAGAGGGUGAUCGGCCACACUGGAACUGAGACACGGUCCAGACUCCUACGGGAGGCAGCAGUAGGGAAUCUUCCGCAAUGGGCGAAAGCCUGACGGAGCAACGCCGCGUGAGUGAUGAAGGUCUUCGGAUCGUAAAACUCUGUUAUUAGGGAAGAACAACUGUGUAAGUAACUAUGCACGUCUUGACGGUACCUAAUCAAAAAGCCACGGCUAACUACGUG
Molecule: ribosomal RNA, 497 nt
Filed under: uncultured bacterium
Lineage: Bacteria
Description: partial 16S ribosomal RNA
Rfam family: Bacterial small subunit ribosomal RNA
Source: RNAcentral